UACGUAGGGUGCAAGCGUUGUCCGGAAUUAUUGGGCGUAAAGAGCUCGUAGGCGGUCUGUCGCGUCGGAUGUGAAAAUCCAGGGCUCAACCCUGGACCUGCAUUCGAUACGGGCAGACUAGAGUUCGGCAGGGGAGACUGGAAUUCCUGGUGUAGCGGUGAAAUGCGCAGAUAUCAGGAAGAACACCGGUGGCGAAGGCGGGUCUCUGGGCCGAUACUGACGCUGAGGAGCGAAAGCGUGGGGAGCGAACAGG
Molecule: ribosomal RNA, 253 nt
Filed under: uncultured bacterium
Lineage: Bacteria
Description: partial 16S ribosomal RNA
Rfam family: Bacterial small subunit ribosomal RNA
Source: RNAcentral